UGAAAAGUCUGUUACACCCUGAACAUCCUGAUCUCAUCCGAUCUCAGAAGCUAAGCAGGGUCAGGCCUGGUUAGUAUUCAAAUGGAAGAAAUGAAAAGUCUAUAAAAUCAAUUAUCUGCUGGGCCCUGGUGGCUCAC
Molecule: ribosomal RNA, 137 nt
Filed under: Castor canadensis (American beaver)
Lineage: Eukaryota; Metazoa; Chordata; Mammalia; Rodentia; Castoridae
Source: RNAcentral